Molecule: non-coding RNA, 211 nt
Organism: Pelobates cultripes (western spadefoot toad)
Lineage: Eukaryota; Metazoa; Chordata; Amphibia; Anura; Pelobatidae
Source: the annotation of a GenBank genome assembly
UUACUACAUAAAACAUAUAUAUUCAACAUAUCCCCAGAUAGCCUAGAUCUGAGCUCACAUUAUUACCGAAUGGCGCCCAGAUCACAUACAUACAGUUCAAUCGCCAUUGAGCCAAAGUCAUAGGGAAAAUAAAAGGUUUUUAAUGCAGGGCCGUGGUCCAGCGGCAAGAGGUGGGCAACCAGGCUCCUCCAGUGGCCAGUGGUGAGGCUGG